AGACUUUAUACAACUCUGAAAGGUUUUAGUGAACUUUCCAAAAUUCUCACAAAUUGAUUGCCUUAGCCAGAACACAUGAAAGUUUUCCAUCAAUACUCAUGACAUAUUCACACCUACUUUGUUAAAUUGCUGGCCUCUCAUACACAUUUUUUGUCACGGGAAAUUUUCUAUAUAACUUAUUUGGUUAUUUAUAAAAAAAGUGUGCAUACUUAGAUGAUUAACAAGUUAAUCAUUGUUUGAUACUUCCACAAUUUAUGCAACCAAGCUUGGCCAUUAAGGUAUUAGGUAUAGUUGCAUAUUUUAGACGGGAGGAAUAGGGAUUGGAGCAGGGACCAUCAACUGCACUAUGUUAAGAAUCCAUUUUUUUUAGGAUAAUGUUAAGAAUCAAAGUUGAUAGAACCUUUUAUUUUUUUGACUGAACCAAUACUAUAUAGUAUUUAGAAUUCUGCUCAUUACCUAAAUGAUUUCACUCAUUCUCAAAGUAAAAGUCCAAAAUGCUCCUACGCAUGUUAACAUGCGCUAGUUGUAAUAUGUACUUAUGUUAAGUCACGCUACCUGAUUUAACAUGCGCUAGUGUAUUUUUUACCUAAGUUAAGUCACGUAACUUGCGCUAGUGUAUUCUGAGCGUGAGUUAACUCACGCUAGUUGGCCGGUGCAGAACUGAAGAACAAACGUUUUUUGGUAUGUGGUCAGUUUUUCAACAUUCAAUCCACACAUUUUUAACACUAUUUUACACGUUUUUUGAUCACAUUAAUGGUGUUUACAACCUAUACUACCAUUCCCACCUAUAAAUACCCCUCCAUACUUCCCUAAUUCCUCACACCAUAUCACUUUCUCCCCCUGCUCACUCUCUCCCUCUAUUUCUCUUCUUUCUUUUUCAAUAUUCUCUUUGGGGGCAAAAAUGAUCAAUCUUCUUAGGGGUAAAAUAGUGAGUAGCCGACUUGGGGAAGUGAUCAACCCUUGGGAUAAGUUUAAAUCUGCUUUUUUAAACCCCAAAAACUUUUUACCUGGGUAAAAAGAAUCUUCUUGGGGUAAAAAAAAACCAGAUUUAAAUUUAGCCCAAGGGUUGAUGGUGUAUUUUCCCCAAGAACGUUGCUCACUAUUUUACCCCAAGAUGAUUGGUCACCUUUUACCCCAAAGAGGGAGAAAAUAAGUAGUGAAUUUGAAUAAAUUAUUGUAAGAAUUAUUGUAUUGUAUGAAAUAUUAAUAAAAUGAGAUAUUGUUAUAUGCCUCAA
Molecule: long non-coding RNA, 1235 nt
Filed under: Medicago truncatula (barrel medic)
Lineage: Eukaryota; Viridiplantae; Streptophyta; Magnoliopsida; Fabales; Fabaceae
Description: long non-coding RNA (MTRU_LNC001074)
Rfam family: MIR2670 microRNA precursor family (bases 916-1113)
Source: RNAcentral